RNAcentral lists this ribosomal RNA (2488 nucleotides) under Escherichia coli. Its description in RNAcentral is "partial 23S ribosomal RNA". It matches the Rfam family "Bacterial large subunit ribosomal RNA", at positions 457 to 2925 of the family's 2925-position model. RNAcentral also lists the same sequence under 1 other name. The record is from RNAcentral. Lineage: Bacteria; Pseudomonadati; Pseudomonadota; Gammaproteobacteria; Enterobacterales; Enterobacteriaceae.
CCUCCAAGGCUAAAUACUCCUGACUGACCGAUAGUGAACCAGUACCGUGAGGGAAAGGCGAAAAGAACCCCGGCGAGGGGAGUGAAAAAGAACCUGAAACCGUGUACGUACAAGCAGUGGGAGCACGCUUAGGCGUGUGACUGCGUACCUUUUGUAUAAUGGGUCAGCGACUUAUAUUCUGUAGCAAGGUUAACCGAAUAGGGGAGCCGAAGGGAAACCGAGUCUUAACUGGGCGUUAAGUUGCAGGGUAUAGACCCGAAACCCGGUGAUCUAGCCAUGGGCAGGUUGAAGGUUGGGUAACACUAACUGGAGGACCGAACCGACUAAUGUUGAAAAAUUAGCGGAUGACUUGUGGCUGGGGGUGAAAGGCCAAUCAAACCGGGAGAUAGCUGGUUCUCCCCGAAAGCUAUUUAGGUAGCGCCUCGUGAAUUCAUCUCCGGGGGUAGAGCACUGUUUCGGCAAGGGGGUCAUCCCGACUUACCAACCCGAUGCAAACUGCGAAUACCGGAGAAUGUUAUCACGGGAGACACACGGCGGGUGCUAACGUCCGUCGUGAAGAGGGAAACAACCCAGACCGCCAGCUAAGGUCCCAAAGUCAUGGUUAAGUGGGAAACGAUGUGGGAAGGCCCAGACAGCCAGGAUGUUGGCUUAGAAGCAGCCAUCAUUUAAAGAAAGCGUAAUAGCUCACUGGUCGAGUCGGCCUGCGCGGAAGAUGUAACGGGGCUAAACCAUGCACCGAAGCUGCGGCAGCGACGCUUAUGCGUUGUUGGGUAGGGGAGCGUUCUGUAAGCCUGUGAAGGUGUGCUGUGAGGUAUGCUGGAGGUAUCAGAAGUGCGAAUGCUGACAUAAGUAACGAUAAAGCGGGUGAAAAGCCCGCUCGCCGGAAGACCAAGGGUUCCUGUCCAACGUUAAUCGGGGCAGGGUGAGUCGACCCCUAAGGCGAGGCCGAAAGGCGUAGUCGAUGGGAAACAGGUUAAUAUUCCUGUACUUGGUGUUACUGCGAAGGGGGGACGGAGAAGGCUAUGUUGGCCGGGCGACGGUUGUCCCGGUUUAAGCGUGUAGGCUGGUUUUCCAGGCAAAUCCGGAAAAUCAAGGCCGAGGCGUGAUGACGAGGCACUACGGUGCUGAAGCAACAAAUGCCCUGCUUCCAGGAAAAGCCUCUAAGCAUCAGGUAACAUCAAAUCGUACCCCAAACCGACACAGGUGGUCAGGUAGAGAAUACCAAGGCGCUUGAGAGAACUCGGGUGAAGGAACUAGGCAAAAUGGUGCCGUAACUUCGGGAGAAGGCACGCUGAUACGUAGGUGAAGCGACUUGCUCGUGGAGCUGAAAUCAGUCGAAGAUACCAGCUGGCUGCAACUGUUUAUUAAAAACACAGCACUGUGCAAACACGAAAGUGGACGUAUACGGUGUGACGCCUGCCCGGUGCCGGAAGGUUAAUUGAUGGGGUUAGCGCAAGCGAAGCUCUUGAUCGAAGCCCCGGUAAACGGCGGCCGUAACUAUAACGGUCCUAAGGUAGCGAAAUUCCUUGUCGGGUAAGUUCCGACCUGCACGAAUGGCGUAAUGAUGGCCAGGCUGUCUCCACCCGAGACUCAGUGAAAUUGAACUCGCUGUGAAGAUGCAGUGUACCCGCGGCAAGACGGAAAGACCCCGUGAACCUUUACUAUAGCUUGACACUGAACAUUGAGCCUUGAUGUGUAGGAUAGGUGGGAGGCUUUGAAGUGUGGACGCCAGUCUGCAUGGAGCCGACCUUGAAAUACCACCCUUUAAUGUUUGAUGUUCUAACGUGGACCCGUGAUCCGGGUUGCGGACAGUGUCUGGUGGGUAGUUUGACUGGGGCGGUCUCCUCCUAAAGAGUAACGGAGGAGCACGAAGGUUGGCUAAUCCUGGUCGGACAUCAGGAGGUUAGUGCAAUGGCAUAAGCCAGCUUGACUGCGAGCGUGACGGCGCGAGCAGGUGCGAAAGCAGGUCAUAGUGAUCCGGUGGUUCUGAAUGGAAGGGCCAUCGCUCAACGGAUAAAAGGUACUCCGGGGAUAACAGGCUGAUACCGCCCAAGAGUUCAUAUCGACGGCGGUGUUUGGCACCUCGAUGUCGGCUCAUCACAUCCUGGGGCUGAAGUAGGUCCCAAGGGUAUGGCUGUUCGCCAUUUAAAGUGGUACGCGAGCUGGGUUUAGAACGUCGUGAGACAGUUCGGUCCCUAUCUGCCGUGGGCGCUGGAGAACUGAGGGGGGCUGCUCCUAGUACGAGAGGACCGGAGUGGACGCAUCACUGGUGUUCGGGUUGUCAUGCCAAUGGCACUGCCCGGUAGCUAAAUGCGGAAGAGAUAAGUGCUGAAAGCAUCUAAGCACGAAACUUGCCCCGAGAUGAGUUCUCCCUGACCCUUUAAGGGUCCUGAAGGAACGUUGAAGACGACGACGUUGAUAGGCCGGGUGUGUAAGCGCAGCGAUGCGUUGAGCUAACCGGUACUAAUGAACCGUGAGGCUUAACCUU